Molecule: long non-coding RNA, 521 nt
Organism: Cannabis sativa
Lineage: Eukaryota; Viridiplantae; Streptophyta; Magnoliopsida; Rosales; Cannabaceae
Exons: 3
Source: RefSeq, a predicted model, not a curated record
AUAUAUAUAUACUACUACUACUAGCUUAACCAAGCUAGGCUAGGGCAUAUAUAUAUAUACUAAAUUACUACAAAUUAUUUUUGUUUUUGUUGGGUUUUGAGAAGCAAAAUAUGAGUGACACAAAAAAUGCUUAUGUAAACCCUUCAGAAACUUAUCAAGGAGCUCCCGAUAUAAUGUCAGCUCCUCAAUAUCCACCUAAUAAUGCGGAACCUCAAAAAGAACCUGGUUUUCUUGAAGGGUGCCUUGCAGCUCUUUGUUGUUGCUGUACUAUGGAUGAGUGUUGCUGUGAUCCUAUGCUAUAUUGCUCUGGCUAAGUACAACAUAAAUAUGCAUCAUAAUAUUAUGAAUGUAAUAUUAUUUUGUGAAAUUGUAGAUUUUAGUUUAAAUAAAUGUACUUAGUUUGAUAAACAAAGAAUUGUUAAAUAAUUGUGUGUGCAUGUCAUUACAUAAAUAUAUAUUUUAUGGAAAGAGAUGCACUUUGUAGUUUCUCAAAUCAAUAAAUGUGACACAUAUUCUACUAA